This 497-nucleotide ribosomal RNA is filed under the name uncultured bacterium. RNAcentral's name for it is "partial 16S ribosomal RNA". It matches the Rfam family "Bacterial small subunit ribosomal RNA", at positions 28 to 507 of the family's 1533-position model. The record is from RNAcentral.
GAUGAACGCUGGCGGCGUGCCUAAUACAUGCAAGUCGAGCGAACAGAUGAGGAGCUUGCUCCUCUGACGUUAGCGGCGGACGGGUGAGUAACACGUGGAUAACCUACCUAUAAGACUGGGAUAACUUCGGGAAACCGGAGCUAAUACCGGAUAAUAUAUUGAACCGCAUGGUUCAAUAGUGAAAGACGGUUUUGCUGUCACUUAUAGAUGGAUCCGCGCCGCAUUAGCUAGUUGGUAAGGUAACGGCUUACCAAGGCGACGAUGCGUAGCCGACCUGAGAGGGUGAUCGGCCACACUGGAACUGAGACACGGUCCAGACUCCUACGGGAGGCAGCAGUAGGGAAUCUUCCGCAAUGGGCGAAAGCCUGACGGAGCAACGCCGCGUGAGUGAUGAAGGUCUUCGGAUCGUAAAACUCUGUUAUUAGGGAAGAACAAAUGUGUAAGUAACUAUGCACGUCUUGACGGUACCUAAUCAGAAAGCCACGGCUAACUACGUA